UCUAAGGCUAAAUACUCCCAACUGACCGAUAGUGAACCAGUACCGUGAGGGAAAGGCGAAAAGAACCCCUGUGAGGGGAGUGAAAUAGAACCUGAAACCGUGUACGUACAAGCAGUAGGAGCCCAUCACCAAAUUCCUUUUGAUUGGCAAAUGGAAUUGUAUCGAUGGAAAAUAAAAAAUGUUAAAAAUAACAGGGUUAACUAUUUUACUUACACUUUCAUUUAGUUCUACAGCACAAGAAAAUAAAUUUGAUUCAAAGAAUUCACUAGUUGAUUCAAAUUCAAAGGUUGUGUUGAGUACAAAAUGUACACCAUGGUGGAAUCCAUUAAUCAAGUGUAAGAAAAGUCACUAGUUAUUUAUGAGAGGCUAAGCCUCUCAUUUUAGAGGCAUUUGGGAUGGGUGACUGCGUACCUUUUGUAUAAUGGGUCAGCGACUUAUAUUUUGUAGCGAGGUUAACCGAUUAGGGUAGCCGUAGGGAAACCGAGUCUUAACUGGGCGAUUAGUUGCAAGGUAUAGACCCG
RNAcentral lists this ribosomal RNA (521 nucleotides) under Pseudoalteromonas sp. SG43-6. RNAcentral's name for it is "partial 23S ribosomal RNA". It matches the Rfam family "Bacterial large subunit ribosomal RNA", at positions 459 to 717 of the family's 2925-position model. The record is from RNAcentral. Lineage: Bacteria; Pseudomonadati; Pseudomonadota; Gammaproteobacteria; Alteromonadales; Pseudoalteromonadaceae.